RNAcentral lists this long non-coding RNA (6408 nucleotides) under Solanum tuberosum (potato). RNAcentral's name for it is "long non-coding RNA (STUB_LNC002521)". The record is from RNAcentral. Lineage: Eukaryota; Viridiplantae; Streptophyta; Magnoliopsida; Solanales; Solanaceae.
AGUUAUUGGUUUAGGUGUCCAUUUUUUAUUUAAUCUUUUAUCCCAUGUAGUUUUUUCUCUAUCAUAUUGUUCAUAGUUUUCAUUAUAAUAUUUUGGAUUUAAAUUUUUUGGGUUUUUUACUCCUGAUGUGUUGGGUCUUUCAUCCAUGUUUACGUCUCCUGUAUUUACUUCUAAAUUCUUUGUAUUAUCUAUGUUUGCUAAAAGUUCCGUAUAUGUUUCGCUUGUUUCCGAAUGUUGUUCUAGAUCAUCGUCGUUUAUUUCAUCAAUUCUUAUUUCGGGUAGAUUAUCGGGUAGAUUAUCUUGGCUAUUCUCUCCUUUUUCUUCUAUUUCGUCUUCUAAUUGUAAUUUUUCUUUAAAUUUAAUUAUCUCAUUUGCUAAUUUCGUUUUUUGUUCUCUUUCUUUUUGUUUAAUUUCAUACAUUUCUUUUAAUAUUGCUAGCUCUUUUUCUAGCUCUAUUAUUUUAGUAUUUUUUACUUCUUCUAAUUGUUGUACUUCCUUUUUUACUUGUUGUUUUAUUUUUUCAAUUUCCGUUUUUCUAUCUAUUUCUUCAUUUUCUUUUGUUAUCCUUAUCAUAGCAGUUAAACUGUCUUCUAGUUUUACCGUUUCUUUUUCUAACAUUAAACUUAGAUUAUCACCUAUUUUCUUAUAUCUUCUUCCUAGAUUAGAAAAUAUUAUCUUUAUUUUUAAUCCGUCAUAGUUUUCAUAUGUUUUUUCAUCUAUUGCGUAUUCUUCUUUAUUCAGUUAUAAGUUGUGUUGUAGUUUAUGUUCUAAGCUUUCUAUUUGUAUUUAUAGGUAUAAAAUAGUUUUUCUCUGUGCUACUAUAGAUUUUUUACAAAUUCCUGCAAAUAUAUUACUGUUAAGUCUAUUUUGCCUGUGUCUCAAUUCUUGUCUUUUUGCUAUAAUUAUUUCGGUAAGUUUUUGUCUAUACUCGUUAUUCAUUGUAUCUUUAAAUAUUGAAUAUAUUUAUAUUCUUAUUUUAGAUAUAUUAUCUAUUAAUUGAUCUAAUUUCUCGUUAUCAGUUUUUGUGAUAUUGAGUUGUUUAUAUUCCGGAUAUAAUUUUUUUAAUUUUCUUCUUAUUUUUCUUAACUUUCUACUAGUAUGUCUCUUACUAUGUUUCUUAUUAUCCAUGGCUCUGAUACCAUUUUUUGGGGUUGCGGAAUUGGAAGGUGAGGGAUUCAUAUUUUUGGUAGGGUGGUAGGUGAUAGUGUGGUAGAUGAGGAAUUUAUUUUAAAGAUUUUAUUAUUAUAUUCUUUUUUCAUGGUAAAAUGCACUAAUACUUAUUGUAAUAUUCUAUUGAUAGUUGUUUUAAUAUGAAUAUUUCUUUGAUAUUAUUUAUGACGUAUUCUAGAUAUAACAUAUCUUGGGUUCUUUGGUACAUAUAUAAAUUUUCCUCCAUUAAUUGUUCUAAUAGUUUUAUAUCUUCCGUAGAUUCUAUUCAAUAUUGUAAAUAUUAGUAGUUCAUUUUAAUCUGAAUUUAUUUCUAAAUCAUACCAUUCUAUUCUUUCGAAGUUUAAAUCAUGUAGGUCCAUUUAAUACCAUUGUUGAUUUAAUAUAUCUUCUAAUUCGUUAUCAUUAAAUAUUUUUUCCCAUAUUAUUCUUCUUAAUUCAAUUAUUUCUAUACCUUUAAGUAUAUAUAAGAUUAAAGUUUCAUAGUUUUUUAUCAUUUCAUCAUGCAUGUAUGUAGUCAUGUUCAUUGUUAUGCAGGGUUUUAUUUUCAAUUAUUCCUUCCUAUCAUAUUCAUAACUGAUUAAAUUCAUAUUAGAUUAUUAUGAACUAGAUUAUCUGUUUAUCAUGUUCUCCUGUCACUACUAGCAUCAUACUUUNNNNNNNNNNNNNNNNNNNNNNNNNNNNNNNNNNNNNNNNNNNNNNNNNNNNNNNNNNNNNNNNNNNNNNNNNNNNNNNNNNNNNNNNNNNNNNNNNNNNNNNNNNNNNNNNNNNNNNNNNACAUUAGGAUGACAUAGUAUAGAAGUUUUCUCCCUGUUUCCAGUGUGCUAAUAAACUAGAAAUCAUGAUUCAAAUAAUUCUAAUACAUAAUAACUAACAUAAAUUUAUUCAAUCAUAUAUAUGAUAUUCAGGAAUAUAUGAAAUUAGUUCUGCAUAUUUAUUGAACAAUAUACCUUUGCCUCUUGCUUAUUCAUUCUAUCUGAAAUAUCUGGUUUGAUUUCAGAUUGUUGCUCCAUUAUCUUUUAAAAUAUUAGUUUUUAGUGGAGAGAGUUUUCGAAAGGGAUUUUUAUAUAUUAGGCAUUGCCUGCCUUAUAAUGUUUACAACUGAGUCUAUAUAUAGACAUACAAUUUUUAUUGCAAGUCUACAUCUGGAAUUAUGUUAUCUUCUCCGUUGCACUUUGAACAUAUAUGAUCAGGGUAUUUAUGUCCAAUUAACUUGCAAUAUCUCGUUAAUAACUCUGUUGAAAUAAAUCCUGCCUUUAGUGCUCUUGUCGUAGGUCGUUCUUCUGGUUUUAAUAAUGAUAAAAUCCAUCGCUGGACUUCGUCCAUAUCCGCUCUUCGUAGUUCUCUUGAAUUUGAAUAUAUUAUUAAUUGAUCUCUUGAGUAAUAACUCCAUAUAGCAUUUCUUUUUAAAUAAUUGUUUGUUAACUCUUAUAUAAUAGUUGAUAUACCAAUUAAUCUUUUGUUGGCAUAAAAACUUGGUAUCUCUAUUUUACGUAUUUCUUCCUGUUGUCCAAUAUCUUUGGGUAAAAUCAUAUCUCUGGUCAGUCCUAUUUUGAUUACCUGAAUUGGAUGUUUUAUUUCUUCGUAUAAUAUUUCCGCUGGUGCUGUAUAAAACUUUAUAUAAAAUAAAUUUCCUUUUGUAACUCUUUUGUAUGUAAUGAAUGCUUUAUGUAGUUUUGGUAUUCCACUAACUUUGUCUCCGUCGUAUGUGUAUAUGGUAUUUAACAGUCCAUAGUUGUAACAUGUCCUUACUAAAUCGGCGUUAGUUUUUGAUAGUGCAAUUAACUUGUUAUAUCCUUGUAACUUUUGUGUCAAAUAAUCCUGGUUUGGUUCUUUUGUAGUUGCUCUGGAGUUGACGUUUAAAUAAGUUUGGAUUUUGUGUAUAUUUUUUAUAUAGGUUCUUGCGAUGUGGUUAUAUGUCUUUUUCUCAUUUUGGUUCUGCAAACUAUCUGCGUAUGUAGAGGUUUGUGGUUCUAUGGAUAUAUUUCUUGGUGUUCUUUUGAUAAAUGGUUUUUCGAAUAGCUGGUUUAAGUUCGCAUUUUUAUGUUGUUUUUCACUAACUUGUUUGCUCGUACCUGCAGCUGUAUUUAAACAAACAUUAUGGGUUUUAAGGUGUUUCCCAACGUCACCUAUUAGAUCAGGAUUUUUAAAGUCUUCCGAUCGAGUUAGCUCCGCAUUUUUACAGUCAUGCUGCUGACUUCUUAUUUGUUGUAGCUCUUUGUCAAUAUUUUCUACUUUUGUGCAAAGUAGGUUCAUAGCUUUGAGUAGUUUCUUCUAUAGUAUUUUGUUUUUCAGUUUGUGUAGCUUUGUCUUGAUAAGUAAUCUGCAAUAACAUUCUUGUCAGUUUUUAUCACUUCAAUAGUAAAUGUAAAAUUUAAUACCAAUCUUCUCAUUUCUUUCGUAGUUACCGAAUCUUGUAUUUUUCUUGUUAGCCACCAUUUUACUUGUGUAUUAUCAGUCCUUAUAAUAAAUUUGUUAUAUACAAUAUAUGGUUCAAAUGAUAAUAAACACUUAUAUACUGAAUAUAAUUCUUUUCUAUUUAUUUCCCAUUUUAUUUCUGUAUUAUUAAAUGUUCCUGAAUAAUACCUGCAAUGAUGUUCUAUCGUAUUGCCAUCAUACUUGUAUUUUAAUAUUCUUCCAUAACUUUUUUCACUCGCAUCUGAUUCUAUUAUAUAAGUAAAUUUUUUGUUCUCAUCUGGAAAGUAUAGUUUAGGUAAGUUUUUACAUAAUAAUUUUACCUUUUGUAUUUGUAUUUGGUCUUUUUUAUCAAACUGAUAUUCUAUACCUUUCUUUAAUUUUUGUUGUAAUAGUUUUAAAUUAUCUCCUAAUUUUGGUAUGUAUUCUCUUACUUGGUUUACUAGUGACAUAAUAGUUUUACUUCUUUUAUUUGCGUUUGGUCUUUUUUAUCAAACUGGUAUUCUAUGCCUUUCUUUAAUUUUUGUUGUAAUAGUUUUAAAUUAUCUCCUAAUUUUGGUAUGUAUUCUCUUACUUGGUUUACUAGUCCUAAAAUGAUUGUAAUUUCUUUUUGUAUGUAAUUGUUCAUUUGAGUUAAUUAUUUUUGUACUAUGUGUGUUUGCAUUUUUAUUCCAUUUUUAUCUAUUUGUAUUCCUAAAAAUUAUAUUUGCUUUUUCAUUAUUUCUGCUUUCUUUUUACUUAGACUUAUGCCUGAAUAUUCUAUAUUAUGUAUAAAUUUUUCUAAUAACCUUAUAUGUUCAUCUUGUGUUUUGGAAUAUAGUAAUAUAUCAUCAAUAUAUACUACACAAUUUUCUAGUUGUUUAAAAUAGUUGUCCAUAAAGGGUUUAUAUCUACCUGGUGCAAUUUUAUAUCCAAAUGGUAAUACAUUCCAUUCAUAAAAUCCUUGUGGUAUUGUAAAUGCUGUAAAAUUUUUAGAUUCUUCUUCUAAUUUUAAGUGGUAAAAUCCUAAUUUGCAGUCAAAUUUACUAAAGUAAUUAUAUCUUUGUAUUUGUCUUAUCUUUAAUAUUUUAUUUGGUAUUGGGUAAUUAUAUGAUUUAGUUUUUGCAUUUAAACUUCUAUAACCAAUAUUAUUAUCAAUUAGCUCAAUUUUUAUUUUUUGUUUUUAUGUUUUUUUCCCCAAUCCUUGUAAAGGAUCUUCACUAUAUAAUAAUUCUAACUUAUCUUGGAUUUAUUUUUACUUUAUCUAUAGAGAAUAUAAUUAACUCUUAUCUUAGGGUCUUCUUCUUUUAUAUUUUCUAAUUUUGUGUAAUUUUUUCACUUCCUUUUAUCCAUUCUAUUGUUUUUCGUUUUUUGUAAUUUACUCUUUUUGCUCCUAUUUUUUGUUUACACGGUGUUGUGAACCCCCAGUAUGUUUUUAUUAUUAUAUGUGGGUAUAAUUUUUUUUAAAAUGGCAAUCCUAAUAGCAUAUCUUUUGUAGUCAAUUCAAAGUUAUAUAUUUCCUCUAUAGUUAAUAUCUUAUCCCAUAUUUGUAUUUUUAUAUUUUGCCUUAUAUGUGAUCAUGCUUCCUUCAUUAUUAAAUCCUGUUACUACUAUCGGUGUUUUUAAUUUUUUCUAUUUAUCUAUUGGUAAACAAUUGUAUUUACAUAUAUUAGUUUCUGCUCCCGUAUCUAUCAUCGGUGUAUAAUAUCUGUUGUAAUAUCCCUCUAUUAUUAUCUUUGCAAGUAUAUAUAUUUUCAUAUUUUUAUCCUACUAAAGUUCUUUUUAUUAUUACUCUUUUAUUUUCAUAAUUUAUUAUUAGUUGUUUGUCUUCUAGAUUAUAUGAUUUACAUUUACAAUUGAAGUAAUAAAAACUGAUAAGAAUGUUAUUGCAGAUUACUUAUCAAGACAAAGCUACUUUUCAUUUCCCUGAUAUAUUUUAAAUUUUAUCACUAUUGGUACUCCUCCUAUGAUUAUUUCCUUUUCUGUAGUUUCCUCGAUAUACAUUAACGCUUUUGGUAGUUCGGGGCAUGAUUAUUUGUAUAUCUAUUUCUUAUAAUAGUAUUCUCUAAAUGUGCAUGUAUAUUCAUCUAUAUAACAAAUAUUACAUAUUGCUAAUUUUGUCAUUAGAUUCCGGUUUAUGACCUUUUUCUUUAUUUUUUUCUUCUACUUCUGUUGUCAUACUACUAAAUUCAUUUCUUAUAGCUACUUCGUAUUUAUAUAAUAUUUCCAUAGUUGUAGUAGCUAAUUCGCCAUUAGAUUUUUAUUACUUCUUAGAGUUUUUAAACUUUCAUCAGAUAAAUUUUGUAGCCCUAAUUUUACUGUUCCUAGAAGUGUUCUUUCCAUAUACCUUGGUGUUUCUGUCAUUACUAUUUUGCUAUCUAUUAAUUGUUUUGAUAUAUAUCCUAUCCAUAAUUGGAUUGUUUUAUUUAUAUCUGCUACACAGUCUAAAUCUAAAAAAUAAUGUUGUCCAGUUAUUGGUUUAGGUGUCCAUUUUUUAUUUAAUCUUUUAUCCCAUGUAGUUUUUUCUCUAUCAUAUUGUUCAUAGUUUUCAUUAUAAUAUUUUGGGUUUAAAUUUGUUGGGUUUUUUACUCCUGAUGUGCUAGGUUUUUCAUCCAUGUCUACGUCUCCUGUAUUUACUUCUAAAUUCUUUGUAUUAUCUAUGUUUGCUAAAAGUUCCGUAUAUGUUUCGCUUGUUUCCGAAUGUUGUUCUAGAUCAUCGUCGUUUAUUUCAUCAAUUCUUAUUUCAGGUAGAUUAUCUUGGCUAUUUUCUUCUUUUUCUUCUAAUUCAUCUUCUAAUUGCAAUUUUUCUUUAAAUUUAAUUAUAUCGUUUGCUAAUUUUGUUUUUGU